RNAcentral lists this ribosomal RNA (254 nucleotides) under uncultured microorganism. RNAcentral describes it as "partial 16S ribosomal RNA". It matches the Rfam family "Archaeal small subunit ribosomal RNA", at positions 474 to 727 of the family's 1478-position model. The record is from RNAcentral.
CACCGGCGGCUCGAGGGGUGGCCACUUUUAUUGGGUCUAAAGCGUCCGUAGCCGGCUUGGCAAGUCCCCUGGGAAAUCUGGCGGCUUAACCGUCAGGCGUCCAGAGGAUACUGCCAGGCUUGGGACCGGGAGAGGUGAGAGGUACCUCAGGGGUAGGGGUGAAAUCUUGUGAUCCCUGAGGGACCACCAGUGGCGAAGGCGUCUCACUAGAACGGGUCCGACGGUCAGGGACGAAAGCUGGGGGCACGAACCGG